GUUUUGGGGUUUCCUGUAGGUUUGGGGGUUUUAGGUUUUGGGGUUCAGAUCCGAAAUAUUGGGAUUUGGGGGUUUUAUUCUGUAGGUUUUGGGGUUCAGACCCCAAAUAUUGGGAUUUUGNACGCGCUCUUCCUCCCCAACUCAACGCAAUCAUCUCCCAACUCAACGCAAUCAUCUCCCAACUCAACGCAAUCAUCUCCCAACUCAACGCGCUCUUCCUCCCCAAACUCAACGCGCUCUUCCUCCCCAACAACCUCAUCUUCCUCCCCCAACCCAACGCUCUUCCUCCCCAACUCAACAUCAUCUUCCUCCCCCAACUCGACGCACUCUUCCUCCCCAACUCAACGCAAUCAUCUCCCAACUCAACAUGAGCAUCUCCCAACUCAACGCGUUCUUCCUCACCCAACUCAACGCAAUCAUCUCCCAACUCAACGCAAUCAUCUCCCAACUCAACACAAUCAUCUCCCAACUCAACGCAAUCAUCUCCCAACUCAACGCAAUCAUCUCCCAACUCAACACAAUCAUCUCCCAACUCAACACAAUCAUCUCCCAACUCAACGCGCUCUUCCUCCCCAACCCAACGCUCUUCCUCCCCAACAACCUCAUCUUCCUCCCCCAACCCAACGCGCCCUUCCUCCCCAACUCCACCCCCUCCACCCCACUUUGGCGACGAGUUUGCGGCCCCUCACCUUUCACGGUGACCACCACCACGCGGCUGAGCGGCGAGGGCACCCAACGCUCGCUCACCUUCUCCUCGUACCUACAGGAGAAGCUCCCGGCCGUGGUUUUGGCCACGGGGAGGCUGAGGAGGACCCGGUCCCGGGCCCCGGUCUCCGAAAAUUGCUCGGCGCCGUCCUUGUAGAAGUAGAACCUCCUCUCGCCCGCCCCGCUGCCGUUGGCCGCGCACGUCACCCCCAGGGUGUCCCCGGCCCGAACUUCGCCCGAGGGGGGGUCCAGCAGCAGGCCUGGAGGGCCCGGCAGGCUUCGUUAACGCGUCGUCAACUAAUUAUUGAGUCAACCAAGAGGUUUGAGAGCGUUGGAAGAGGUGGAGGUGGCCCCCGGGGAAGACCCUGAAGGGGAAUUUGAGCAAUUUCCAGCUAAAGAGGGAAUCGGAGCGGAGUUUGGGGAUGGAUUUGGAAAACUGGGGUCCUCCGACCGCUCCUCGAGGUGGAUUUUUGGGAAUCGAGGUUCCUCCAACUGCUCCUCAAGGUGGGUUUUUGGGGAACUGAGGUUCCUCCAAUGACUUUUUGAGGUGGAUUUUGGGGAACUGAGGUUCCUCCAGUGGCUUCUUGGGGUCAAUUUUGGGGAAAAAAGGUUCAUCCAACAAUUUCUUGAGGUUGAUUUUUGGGAACUGAGGUUCCUCCAACCCCCCCCCAAGGUGGAUUUUUGGGACCCAAGGACCCUCCAAUGACUUCUUGGGGUCAAUUUUGGGAACCGAAGUUCCUCCAAUGACUUUUUGAGGUGGAUUUUUGGGAACUGAGGUCCCUCCAAUGACUUUUUGAGGUGGAUUUUUGGGGGAACUGAGGUUCCUCCAAUGACUUUUUGAGGUGGAUUUUGGGGAACUGAUGUUCCUCCAACGACUUCUUGGGGUCAAUUUUGGGAGCUGAGGUUCCUCCAACGACUUUCUUGGGGUCAAUUUUGGGGAAAAAAGGUUCGUCCAACAAUUUCUUGAGGUUGAUUUUUGGGAACUGAGGUUCCUCCAACC
This 1705-nucleotide long non-coding RNA is filed under the name Cairina moschata (Muscovy duck). RNAcentral's name for it is "domestica (muscovy Duck (domestic type)) lncRNA (ENSCMMG00000013635.1)". The record is from RNAcentral. Lineage: Eukaryota; Metazoa; Chordata; Aves; Anseriformes; Anatidae.